Molecule: ribosomal RNA, 248 nt
Filed under: uncultured bacterium
Lineage: Bacteria
Description: partial 16S ribosomal RNA
Rfam family: Bacterial small subunit ribosomal RNA
Source: RNAcentral
AUACGUAGGGAGCGAGCGUUGUCCGGAAUUACUGGGCGUAAAGGGUGCGUAGGCGGUCAGGCAAGUCAGAUGUGAAAUCCCCGGGCUUAACUCGGGUGGUGCAUUUGAAACUGCUUGACUUGAGUGCAGGAGAGGAAAGCGGAAUUCCUAGUGUAGCGGUGAAAUGCGUAGAUAUUAGGAGGAACACCAGUGGCGAAGGCGGCUUUCUGGACUGUAACUGACGCUGAGGCACGAAAGCGUGGGGAGGC